UCGUAAAAAUAAUUAACAAUUAAAUUAAGUUUUUAAACUUCUAUGUCUAUAUAACUGAAAUAUGGAUAGGUACUAAUAUUUAUAUUUUAAUUGGUCCUAUACUUUACUGUAAUUCACAAUAGAUUCAUUUUAAACAGGUUACUGCAAGUUUGCCAAGCAGUAUAAAACCGAUUAGUUACGCAUGAACGAAGUAAAGCAAUGAUCCGGCGACUUGAAUAGGCAAUAUAGUCAUUGUUCAAAUAUCUAUGGAAAAUGUAUAGUCUGUACUCUGUUUUCAAAAUAACAUAAAAUAUGUUAAACCAUCGAGCAAUCAAUGUAGAUAUCUGUGACACAUUUGAAACGCAAUUGUCUAUGGGAAUUAAGAAUUUCAAACAGUAAGCCCGGUGGAUUAAAAUAGAAACCUACAAUUCGACAUGACUGGAUUUAUAAUGUAGGCAAUAGAUAUAUCGUGUAUAAUAUAAACAUUCAUAAAUACGUAUGUGUAUGUUUAUGUCAGUGUGAUAGAAAUUGAUGAUGAAUGAAACAAAUGUAAGCCUAA
Long non-coding RNA from Aphis gossypii (cotton aphid), 538 nucleotides. RefSeq lists it as uncharacterized. The transcript has 3 exons. The record is from RefSeq and is a predicted model, not a curated record. Lineage: Eukaryota; Metazoa; Arthropoda; Insecta; Hemiptera; Aphididae.